RNAcentral lists this small nuclear RNA (339 nucleotides) under Anolis carolinensis (green anole). RNAcentral describes it as "7SK RNA". It matches the Rfam family "7SK RNA". From Rfam's summary of the family: 7SK was discovered as an abundant small nuclear RNA in the mid-70s but a possible function has only recently been suggested. Two independent studies have found that 7SK RNA binds the CDK9/cyclin T complex (known as elongation factor P-TEFb). P-TEFb activates transcription by phosphorylating the C-terminal domain of RNA polymerase II. Lineage: Eukaryota; Metazoa; Chordata; Lepidosauria; Squamata; Anolidae. The record is from Rfam by way of RNAcentral.
GGAUGUGAGGGCGAUCUGGCUGCGACAUCUGUCACCCCAUUGAUCGCCAGGGUUGAUUCGGCCGAUCUGGCUGGUUAGGCGGGUGUCCCCUUCCUCCCUCACCGCUCCAUGUGCGUCCCUCCCGAAGCUGCGCGCUCGGUGGAAGAGGACGACGUCCCAGGUAUAGAAGGAGUGUACCGAGGUCUCCAGUCUUCGGUCCCGGGUAUACGAUAGCUGCGCUCCCCUGCUAGAACCUCCAAACAAAACAGACUGACAUCAAAUAGAUAAUGAGCAGAUCAAUAUAUUUAUUUAUAACAAUAAACAAUCAGAGUCCAUUGAAAAAUAAUUCUGUUAAUUUCU